This is a long non-coding RNA of Etheostoma cragini (Arkansas darter), 138 nucleotides long. RefSeq lists it as uncharacterized. Lineage: Eukaryota; Metazoa; Chordata; Actinopteri; Perciformes; Percidae. The record is from RefSeq and is a predicted model, not a curated record. The transcript has 3 exons.
GAGUAAUAAAAUGUUUUUAAUUCCUCUCCAAGGUCUUCAUCAGGUGAGAAGUUAAAGCUACCAGUCUGAAGUGGUUGAUUUUCCUGGGAUGCGCAGUUUUAGGUACUGGGACCAUGCACAGUCUUCCACAGGACUGGA